GAUGAACGCUGGCGGCGUGCCUAAUACAUGCCAGUCGAGCGAACAGACGAGGAGCUUGCUCCUCUGACGUUAGCGGCGGACGGGUGAGUAACACGUGGAUAACCUACCUAUAAGACUGGGAUAACUUCGGGAAACCGGAGCUAAUACCGGAUAAUAUAUUGAACCGCAUGGUUCAAUAGUGAAAGACGGUUUUGCUGUCACUUAUAGAUGGAUCCGCGCCGCAUUAGCUAGUCGGUAAGGUAACGGCUUACCAAGGCAUCGAUGCGUAGCCGACCUGAGAGGGUGAUCGGCCACACUGGAACUGAGACACGGUCCAGACUCCUACGGGAGGCAGCAGUAGGGAAUCUUCCGCAAUGGGCGAAAGCCUGACGGAGCAACGCCGCGUGAGUGAUGAAGGUCUUCGGAUCGUAAAACUCUGUUAUUAGGGAAGAACAAAUGUGUAAGUAACUAUGCACGUCUUGACGGUACCUAAUCAGAAAGCCACGGCUAACUACGUG
Molecule: ribosomal RNA, 497 nt
Filed under: uncultured bacterium
Lineage: Bacteria
Description: partial 16S ribosomal RNA
Rfam family: Bacterial small subunit ribosomal RNA
Source: RNAcentral